RNAcentral lists this ribosomal RNA (407 nucleotides) under uncultured bacterium. RNAcentral describes it as "partial 16S ribosomal RNA". It matches the Rfam family "Bacterial small subunit ribosomal RNA", at positions 28 to 526 of the family's 1533-position model. The record is from RNAcentral.
GACGAACGCUGGCGGCGUGCCUAAUACAUGCAAGUAGGACGCAGUUGCGAACGGGUGAGUAACGCGAAGGUCACUACCUAUUAGAGGGGGAUAACUAUUGGAAACGAUAGCUAAUACCGCAUACUAGUAGAUGGACCUGCGUUGUAUUUGCUCGUAGGUAGGGUAAUGGCCUAACUAGGCAACGAUACAUAGCCGCGCGGAGAGGGUGAGCGGCCACACUGGGAUUGAGGCACGGCCCAGACUCCUACGGGAGGCAGCAGUAGGGAAUCUUCGGCAAUGGGGGGAACCCUGAUCGAGAAACGCCGCGGGAGUGAAGAAGGUUGUCGGAUCGUAAAGCUCUGUUGUUAAGGAAGCGGUACUUAACCAGAAAGUGACGGCUAACUACGUGCCAGCAGCCGCGGUAAUAC